Acanthosepion pharaonis is the source of this 114-nucleotide non-coding RNA. The record is from the annotation of a GenBank genome assembly. NCBI's taxonomy places the organism in Eukaryota, Metazoa, Mollusca, Cephalopoda, Sepiida, Sepiidae.
UUACGGCCACAUCACGUUGAAACAUCAAUUCCCAUAUGAUCACCGAAGUUAAGCAACGCCGAGAUUGGCCAGUACCUAGAUGGGCGACCGCUUUGGGAUACCAGGUGCCGUAAG